Molecule: ribosomal RNA, 1297 nt
Filed under: human gut metagenome
Description: bacterial LSU rRNA
Rfam family: Bacterial large subunit ribosomal RNA
Source: RNAcentral
UGCUGUGAGGCAUGCUGGAGGUAUCAGAAGUGCGAAUGCUGACAUAAGUAACGAUAAAGCGGGUGAAAAGCCCGCUCGCCGGAAGACCAAGGGUUCCUGUCCAACGUUAAUCGGGGCAGGGUGAGUCGACCCCUAAGGCGAGGCCGAAAGGCGUAGUCGAUGGGAAACAGGUUAAUAUUCCUGUACUUGGUGUUACCGCGAAGGGGGGACGGAGAAGGCUAUGUUGGCCGGGCGACGGUUGUCCCGGUUUAAGCGUGUAGGCUGGUUUUCCAGGCAAAUCCGGAAAAUCAAGGCUGAGGCGUGAUGACGAGGCACUACGGUGCUGAAGCAACAAAUGCCCUGCUUCCAGGAAAAGCCUCUAAGCAUCAGGUAACAUCAAAUCGUACCCCAAACCGACACAGGUGGUCAGGUAGAGAAUACCAAGGCGCUUGAGAGAACUCGGGUGAAGGAACUAGGCAAAAUGGUGCCGUAACUUCGGGAGAAGGCACGCUGAUAUGUAGGUGAAGUCCCUCGCGGAUGGAGCUGAAAUCAGUCGAAGAUACCAGCUGGCUGCAACUGUUUAUUAAAAACACAGCACUGUGCAAACACGAAAGUGGACGUAUACGGUGUGACGCCUGCCCGGUGCCGGAAGGUUAAUUGAUGGGGUCAGCGCAAGCGAAGCUCUUGAUCGAAGCCCCGGUAAACGGCGGCCGUAACUAUAACGGUCCUAAGGUAGCGAAAUUCCUUGUCGGGUAAGUUCCGACCUGCACGAAUGGCGUAAUGAUGGCCAGGCUGUCUCCACCCGAGACUCAGUGAAAUUGAACUCGCUGUGAAGAUGCAGUGUACCCGCGGCAAGACGGAAAGACCCCGUGAACCUUUACUAUAGCUUGACACUGAACAUUGAGCCUUGAUGUGUAGGAUAGGUGGGAGGCUUUGAAGUGUGGACGCCAGUCUGCAUGGAGCCGACCUUGAAAUACCACCCUUUAAUGUUUGAUGUUCUAACGUUGACCCGUGAUCCGGGUUGCGGACAGUGUCUGGUGGGUAGUUUGACUGGGGCGGUCUCCUCCUAAAGAGUAACGGAGGAGCACGAAGGUUGGCUAAUCCUGGUCGGACAUCAGGAGGUUAGUGCAAUGGCAUAAGCCAGCUUGACUGCGAGCGUGACGGCGCGAGCAGGUGCGAAAGCAGGUCAUAGUGAUCCGGUGGUUCUGAAUGGAAGGGCCAUCGCUCAACGGAUAAAAGGUACUCUGGGGAUAACAGGCUGAUACCGCCCAAGAGUUCAUAUCGACGGCGGUGUUUGGCACCUCGAUGUCGGCUCAUC